UNUGACUUGAGUGCAGAAGGGGAGAGUGGAAUUCCAUGUGUAGCGGUGAAAUGCGUAGAUAUAUGGAGGAACACCAGUGNCAAAAGCGGCUCUCUGGUCUGUCACUGACGCUGAGGCUCGAAAGCGUGGGUAGCGAACAGGAUUAGAUACCCUGGUAGUCCACGCCGUAAACGAUGAGUGCUAGGUGUUAGGCCCUUUCCGGGGCUUAGUGCCGGAGCUAACGCAAUAAGCACUCCGCCUGGGGAGUACGACCGCAAGGUUGAAACUCAAAGGAAUUGACGGGGGCCCGCACAAGCGGUGGAGCAUGUGGUUUAAUUCGAAGCAACGCGAAGAACCUUACCAGGUCUUGACAUCCCGAUGCUAUUCUUAGAGAUAGGAAGUUACUUCGGUACAUCGGAGACAGGUGGUGCAUGGUUGUCGUCAGCUCGUGUCGUGAGAUGUUGGGUUAAGUCCCGCAACGAGCGCAACCCUUAUUGUUAGUUGCCAUCAUUAAGUUGGGCACUCUAGCGAGACUGCCGGUAAUAAACCGGAGGAAGGUGGGGAUGACGUCAAAUCAUCAUGCCCCUUAUGACCUGGGCUACACACGUGCUACAAUGGUCGGUACAACGAGUUGCGAGCCGGUGACGGCAAGCUAAUCUCUGAAAGCCGAUCUCAGUUCGGAUUGGAGGCUGCAACUCGCCUCCAUGAAGUCGGAAUCGCUAGUAAUCGCGGAUCAGCACGCCGCGGUGAAUACGUUCCCGGGCCUUGUACACACCG
This 756-nucleotide ribosomal RNA is filed under the name uncultured bacterium. RNAcentral describes it as "bacterial SSU rRNA". It matches the Rfam family "Bacterial small subunit ribosomal RNA", at positions 636 to 1392 of the family's 1533-position model. The record is from RNAcentral.